UACGUAGGGGGCAAGCGUUGUCCGGAAUCAUUGGGCGUAAAGCGCGUGUAGGCGGCCCGAUAAGUCCGCUGUGAAAGUCCAGGGCUCAACCCUGGGAUGCCGGUGGAUACUGUCGGGCUCGAGUCCGGAAGAGGCGAGUGGAAUUCCUGGUGUAGCGGUGAAGUGCGCAGAUAUCAGGAGGAACACCAAUGGCGAAGGCAGCUCGCUGGGACGUGACUGACGCUGAGACGCGAAAGCGUGGGGAGCAAACAGG
Molecule: ribosomal RNA, 253 nt
Filed under: uncultured bacterium
Lineage: Bacteria
Description: partial 16S ribosomal RNA
Rfam family: Bacterial small subunit ribosomal RNA
Source: RNAcentral